GUGUGCUUGAUCAAUAUAGGAGUUCUUUAACUCCUAAAAUUGUACAAGCUCUUGUGUGUACUCAAGAUUGGAUUCGAAGAUCAUCAUCACAAGAAGACAUAAAAAAGAUUGAAGAACAAAUCCAAGAGCUUGACAAGAUUGAAAAUGGUUUAAUGCAAAUGGAGAUAUUUUGGAGAGAUGAAAUGGAUAUAUUUUGGAAAGAUGAAAUGGAUAUAAAUGGAGAAUGUUAAAAACAUACAUUUCAAUUAUGUGUUAAUUCAAGACUUAUGUAAUAUUUUUAAUUAUGUAGUGAUUCAAAGACUUAUGUAAUAUUUUUAAUUAUGUAGUGAUUCAAAUAUUUAUGUAAUGUUUUUAAUUAUGUAGUGAUUUAAUUCGGGUAA
Long non-coding RNA from Gossypium raimondii (Peruvian cotton), 380 nucleotides. RefSeq lists it as uncharacterized. The transcript is spliced from 2 exons. The record is from RefSeq and is a predicted model, not a curated record. NCBI's taxonomy places the organism in Eukaryota, Viridiplantae, Streptophyta, Magnoliopsida, Malvales, Malvaceae.